GUAUCAAUUCAUUAUUAGCAGGCA
RNAcentral lists this non-coding RNA (24 nucleotides) under Rattus norvegicus (Norway rat). Lineage: Eukaryota; Metazoa; Chordata; Mammalia; Rodentia; Muridae. The record is from RNAcentral.